This is a non-coding RNA of Pelobates cultripes (western spadefoot toad), 204 nucleotides long. Lineage: Eukaryota; Metazoa; Chordata; Amphibia; Anura; Pelobatidae. The record is from the annotation of a GenBank genome assembly.
GUUAGUCAGUUGAAAGAAGAGAAACUAGCGAGAGACACUAGUAUUGUCAGUCAGUCCAGAAAAUCUCAUGGUAAGAAUAAUAUUAAGAUAUCAGACUGUAACCUCUCUCAUGAGAUAUCAUUUCUCCCUUGUACUGAGGACAGCACUGAGCAAUCUCAGGAAGUAGGUGAAUUUGAGGUAAUAAUGAACAUUAGAAGAUUAUUU